Molecule: long non-coding RNA, 1762 nt
Organism: Taeniopygia guttata (zebra finch)
Lineage: Eukaryota; Metazoa; Chordata; Aves; Passeriformes; Estrildidae
Source: Ensembl
UUUGUUUGUUUGUGUAUCAAAUAUUUAAACUGGAAAAUUAAGUUCCUAAAUGCCCAAAUCAGCCUCAUUCUGAUUUUUCAGAUGUAUCCAGAAAUACUGGAAGAAUGAUUUGACGAGAAUUUACAGUUCAUCUCAGAGUAUAAAGGAAGUGCAAUAAAGACCCCUGUUCUGUGCUUGGACAGUUCUGGAUAGCCAAAGGUCAGUCCUAAAUCCUUCCUUGCAUUCUUGUUUAUUUCCUUUUAAAUAUUAUUUCUUUUCAAUAUUAUUUCGUACAGACAAGACAAUUUUAUACAGACAAAUCCAUGAAAACAGCGUUAGCCAUUUCCCAAAUUCUCUGAGUUAUUCUCACCAUUGUCAGUGAGUGACACAAAUAAAAGCAUUUAACACCACACUGCACAACAUGUAGUCUCUGUUUGAAUAUUUACUGAAAGCCUAAAUGUGGAGGUUUUAGGGGUUUUUUUUGUUAGGGUUGGGAUUAAAUCUAUGAGAUGGUAUUUUUGUUUAGAUUUAGAUGUUUAUUAGUUUUUAUUAUAGUUUUAUAAACUGUGAGUUUUAUAGUACUUUAUCUUAAUAAACUAAAAAUGGAGUUGUAUCUUUCUCCCUAUAAGAUCUUUUGAGGAUAAGCUGUCUAACUAAGAAAUGACAUUAAAUUAUUUUAAUUGUUAACUAACUACUUGUGGUCCGCAAUGUGGACUUUUUUAUUUAAUUACUUUUGAAAAAAUAUUUAAUUAUUUUUAUUAAUUAAAAUUUUAAAUAUAUUAAAUUAUUUAUUUUAUUUUAUUACUUUUUUAUUUAAUGAAAUACCACUCAAACCCAUGGAGAAGGUGAAGAAGGACUAGUCUCUGCCCUAAAACUUCUCUCUUGUUUUAUAUAUAUUAUUAUAUUGUAAAACUUUAAACUCUAAGUUUUCCCCUGUGUGAUAUUACACACUUCUAUCUAAACUACACACUUAUAAUCUUAAUUCUAUAUUUCAAUUUUGGAAGCCUUCUCCACGGCCUCAGGUCAAUGCAGUGGUUUUUUUGGGAGGUCAGAGUCUGUCAGCACGGAAAGUUUGAAAUUCUCAGCAGCCAGGGUUCCCACAUCUAAACUAUAAAAUACGUGUUUGUCACAUACAAACAUAAUAUAUAUAUUUGUCACACUAAAAUAUACGAUCUACACAGGGCCAGGUGAUAAAUUACACUGGCCCUGUAAAUUAAAUAUUUACUACAUUAAAGCAGUUCAGAGUGGUUACAAACUGUGCUGUACCAAAAUAGUUGUAAUUAAUAUAGAAAUAAUAUAAAUAAAUAUUAAUAUAAUAAUAUAAGUAUAUAUAAAUAUAAUAAAUAAUAUAAUUUAAAUAAAUAUACAAUAUGUAUACUAUAGUAAUAUAGAAAUUAUAUUACGUAUAAAUAUAUUACUUAUAUAAUUAUAUAAAUUAUAGAAAUAUAUUACUAUAUAUCAAUAUAUAAUUAUAUAUUCUAAAUAAUAUAAAAUAUGUAAUAUAUUAUAACCAUAUACUUAUUUAUAUAUAUUAUAAAUUAUAUAAUUAUUAUUAUAAAUAAGAAUUUGCAAGAGCCAGUAUAUAAUAGGGAAAGCCAACAAUUCUGGAGUUAUUUAGAAAGAGCUGAGGGACUCCAGCAGCUGGGGAGGAUUUUCCAUGGCUGGUUUUCCCAGGACUUCUGCCUGGGAUUGGCCUGAAUUAUUGUUGGGGUUUAUUUGUUUAUUUAUUAGAUUUGAUUAGGGUUUAUUUAUUUCUUAUUAGGUUUUAUUUGUAAUUUGUUAG